GACGAACGCUGGCGGCGUGCUUUAACACAUGCAAGUCGAACGAAGAGCGAUGAAGCUUGCUUCUAUCAAUCUUAGUGGCGAACGGGUGAGUAACGCGUAAUCAACCUGCCCUUCAGAGGGGGACAACAGUUGGAAACGACUGCUAAUACCGCAUACGAUCUAAUCUCGGCAUCGAGGAUAGAUGAAAGGUGACCUCUACAUGUAAGCUAUCACUGAAGGAGGGGAUUGCGUCUGAUUAGCUAGUUGGAGGGGUAACGGCCCACCAAGGCGAUGAUCAGUAGCCGGUCUGAGAGGAUGAACGGCCACAUUGGGACUGAGACACGGCCCAGACUCCUACGGGAGGCAGCAGUGGGGAAUCUUCCGCAAUGGACGAAAGUCUGACGGAGCAACGCCGCGUGAGUGAUGACGGCCUUCGGGUUGUAAAGCUCUGUUAAUCGGGACGAAAGGCCUUCUUGCGAAUAGUUAGAAGGAUUGACGGUACCGGAAUAGAAAGCCACGGCUAAUAC
This 506-nucleotide ribosomal RNA is filed under the name Veillonella parvula. Its description in RNAcentral is "bacterial SSU rRNA". It matches the Rfam family "Bacterial small subunit ribosomal RNA", at positions 28 to 503 of the family's 1533-position model. Lineage: Bacteria; Bacillati; Bacillota; Negativicutes; Veillonellales; Veillonellaceae. The record is from RNAcentral.